UGCUCAACAACUCCGGCUCAUUUACACCUAGGCGCAGGCGCACACCUAUCUAACCUAGUAGCACGCACGCACACAUGCAGCCUCCUAAUCCCAUCUUCUCUUCCGGUUGCGCCGCCACCCAGAGACACUCGCACACGCAACGCCUAUCAACCCUCACACGAUCCCCAUUCACCCCUCUCCUUCGUUUUCCGUGCCGAUCGGUACCCUACCGGGCACCUAAUCCGACCAUCGCCGCCUCCCGCACGGAUUGGCGGCCUCCUCUGCCCAAGCGCCUCUGGCUCCUGUGCCGCUCUCCUCCUAGUGCCUGCUGCCGACCAUGGCUUGGUCUGGUGCAGCGGUGGCCUGGUUCAUCGUCCUCUGGCGGCUGGCCUAUGCGCGCGGAGGCGCGGGAGGUGGUGUGGCACAGCGUUGGCAUGUGGCUGCCGGCGGGUGGCGCAAGAUGUUGAACAUGUCUUCGGACUGACGCUAUCAAUCUUCAAUCUUUUUCUGUAUCUUCUCAGCUCUGUCUCGAGCUUUCCUAUUAGGAUGGGCUCCACAAACUGCUUUUUGUUGGAUUCAUGCGCCUCUCCUAUUUGAUUGGCCGUAUCCCCUCCUCUUUCUUUCUUUUGGCUUGUUGGUUCUUCAAUUUGGAACAUUAUAUAAGCCGCUAGGAUUUGAUGUAAAGUGUAGGGGUGAGACUAUUAAUUUGAAUCUAAAAUUUUGGCACAAACUCUGUUUGUUGCAGUCAUAGGGGAGGGGCAGUAUGUUGUGAGGUCAAACGCUUUUAGCAGCCCCUAAUAAAAAGCUUUAGUGGCCCGCAGCGGCACCAUGGCUGUCGGCCGGCGAGGGCCUCACCGAGGCUGUUGGCUGACGAGCACAGGGGAGAUUGGGUGUUGGGAUGGAGACACACCUACAGGGGGCCAGGGUCACCAGAGGUGAAGGAGAGACCGGGAGGGCCGAAGGCGGAGAGGAGAGUAGAACGACCGACGAAGGCGCAUGACAGGCUGGGAGCGCCGGAACUGGAGGGGAGAGCCGGACGGCCUACGAGAGCCUUCCACCUUCCGUGCCACAGGAUAAGAUGAACAAGGGAGCGCGGGCGGAAUUCUUAUAAAAUGCAGGGAUUUUUACACAAAAACGAAACAUUUUCCUAGAGUGUCACUUAUACAGAGACUGCAGGUUGAUUUCGAAGAAACAAAGGUCUUUUUUAAAAAAAGCCGACGAUCGUAUGGAUUGAAACGAUCCUUUAUUAUAAUAGGUAUAGUUACGUUCUUCAUUGCACAUACAUCCACACAUAUCAAUGUACUGUAC
RNAcentral lists this long non-coding RNA (1287 nucleotides) under Hordeum vulgare. RNAcentral describes it as "long non-coding RNA (HVUL_LNC013483)". Lineage: Eukaryota; Viridiplantae; Streptophyta; Magnoliopsida; Poales; Poaceae. The record is from RNAcentral.